GCUCCCGUAGUCUAGACCGGCCAAGGAUUCCGGCCUUUCGAGCCGGAGACCCGGGUUCAAAUCCCGGCGGGAGCA
Molecule: transfer RNA, 75 nt
Filed under: Candidatus Aenigmatarchaeota archaeon
Lineage: Archaea; Nanobdellati; Candidatus Aenigmatarchaeota
Description: tRNA-Glu
Rfam family: tRNA
About the family: Transfer RNA (tRNA) molecules are approximately 80 nucleotides in length. Their secondary structure includes four short double-helical elements and three loops (D, anti-codon, and T loops). Further hydrogen bonds mediate the characteristic L-shaped molecular structure. tRNAs have two regions of fundamental functional importance: the anti-codon, which is responsible for specific mRNA codon recognition, and the 3' end, to which the tRNAs corresponding amino acid is attached (by aminoacyl-tRNA synthetases). tRNAs cope with the degeneracy of the genetic code in two manners: having more than one tRNA (with a specific anti-codon) for a particular amino acid; and 'wobble' base-pairing, i.e. permitting non-standard base-pairing at the 3rd anti-codon position.
Source: RNAcentral